This 57-nucleotide transfer RNA is filed under the name Odocoileus virginianus texanus. It matches the Rfam family "tRNA", at positions 8 to 63 of the family's 71-position model. Rfam says of the family: Transfer RNA (tRNA) molecules are approximately 80 nucleotides in length. Their secondary structure includes four short double-helical elements and three loops (D, anti-codon, and T loops). RNAcentral also lists the same sequence under 5 other names. Lineage: Eukaryota; Metazoa; Chordata; Mammalia; Artiodactyla; Cervidae. The record is from Rfam by way of RNAcentral.
UGGCUCAGAUGGUAAAGAGUCUGCCUGCAAUGCAGGAGACCCAGGUUCGAUCCCUGG